This 344-nucleotide ribosomal RNA is filed under the name uncultured bacterium. Its description in RNAcentral is "SSU rRNA". It matches the Rfam family "Bacterial small subunit ribosomal RNA", at positions 26 to 380 of the family's 1533-position model. The record is from RNAcentral.
AGGACGAACGCUGGCGGCGUGCCUAAUACAUGCAAGUCGAACGGAUUGCCUUCGGGCAGUUAGUGGCGGACGGGUGAGUAACACGUGAGUGACCUGCCCUGGAGUGGGGAAUAACUCUGCGAAAGCAGAGCUAAUACCGCAUUCGCUUACUUCAUCAUCGGAGUAAGUAAAGCUUAAUGCGCUUCAGGAGGGGCUUGCGGCCGAUUAGCUAGUCGGUGGGGUAAUGGCCUACCGAGGCAACGAUCGGUAGCUGGUCUGAGAGGAUGACCAGCCACACUGGGACUGAGACACGGCCCAGACUCCUACGGGAGGCAGCAGUAAGGAAUAUUCCACAAUGGCCGCAA